CCUACGGGUGGCAGCAGUGGGGAAUAUUGGACAAUGGGGGGAACCCUGAUCCAGCGACGCCGCGUGAGUGAAGAAGUAUUUCGGUAUGUAAAGCUCUAUCAGCAGGGAAGAAAGAAAUGACGGUACCUGACUACGAAGCCCCCGCUAACUACGUGCCAGCAGCGGCGGUAAUACGUAGGGGGCAAGCGUUAUCCGGAUUUACUGGGUGUAAAGGGAGCGUAGACGGCGGGGCAAGUCUGAAGUGAAAGGCGGGGGCCCAACCCCCGGACUGCUUUGGAAACUGUAUGGCUGGAGUGCGGGAGAGGUAAGUGGAAUGUCUGGUGUAGCGGUGAAAUGCGUAGAUAUUAGGAGGAACACCAGUGGCGAAGGCAGCUUACGGGACUGUAACUGACGUUGAGGCUCGAAAGCGUGGGGAGCAAACAGGAUUAGAUACCCUGGUAGUC
Molecule: ribosomal RNA, 443 nt
Filed under: uncultured bacterium
Lineage: Bacteria
Description: partial 16S ribosomal RNA
Rfam family: Bacterial small subunit ribosomal RNA
Source: RNAcentral